Long non-coding RNA from Acromyrmex echinatior (Panamanian leafcutter ant), 1022 nucleotides. Lineage: Eukaryota; Metazoa; Arthropoda; Insecta; Hymenoptera; Formicidae. The record is from RefSeq and is a predicted model, not a curated record.
AUGUAUUCUAGAGAUGCGAAAGCAGAAACGCAAAAGAAAAAGACGAAAGAACGCAGGAAAAGAGUAACGGAACAGAAAGACGAGAGACGUGGACAAGGGGGCAAAUUUCUCCGCGAUCUUGGUUCCGGAUUAAACUUUAAUUGAUUCAAGUUCGUGGUCUCUCUCUCUCUGUAUUCAGCGAGGCGCAUAGAAGAGGAGGGAAGCACUGCCUCUCCCUUAACGGAGAUCCUGGCGUAAGGUAUGACGGUCCUUCUCUUAUUCCAUUCAAUGUCCUGCAGCAGGAUGCGCCCAUUAUUCCCUUCCGCGGUAGGCCGGUGGAAACGUAUCAACGAGAAGAAUACAAUAAUUCUGAAGAAGGGUAGAGAGGAGUCUCGUACUACAGACUUGGCCAGACUCCGCCUAUGAGAUUUCCCACUCAAAAACCAUAUCGUAAAACUCUCGAGCGACGGUAUAAUGAAGAGGCCAAGAGUCUCAAGAACCAAGAAAACUACGGGAUGAGAUAGCAGUACGAAGAAGAAGUAGGAAGAAGAAGAAGAAGAAGAACAGGGGCAAGAACGAGAACGAGGAAAGCUUUGCCAAAGGAGUCAUCAUACGGACGCAGGAGAUACAGCUAUUUCGAUCGUGAAGGGAGGAUUAUGCGGGACCAUAAAGCCACGCGACCGGAGACGCCCGGCAGGCGCGUCGCGGUGCCGGAGACGUUAGCUCUUCCGGCUUCCUAGGAAUAACUAAGUUCUCGGCGUGUACUCUCUCUUGGUGAACGCCCUGUAUACUGAAGCAGCGACGGCGUGCCCGGGUCACAGGCCAUUAAGUCUCAGGUUCACCGCAAUAAGGACCGCGUUCCGCUCCGUGCAAUGGGUAACCGCUAUUACCAAGCCAAUGAGCCGCGUUCACCGAUUCCGCCAGAUUUUUCCCAUUCCCGGAACUAGGAAAUUCGAUGCGCUCUUGUCGGCACCUAACUAGUUACAACCGUCCCUUCAAUCGUUCUCAAGAUAUCCAGGAUACAUUAUUAGUAAUUAUAUAUC